Molecule: long non-coding RNA, 428 nt
Organism: Peromyscus eremicus (cactus mouse)
Lineage: Eukaryota; Metazoa; Chordata; Mammalia; Rodentia; Cricetidae
Exons: 2
Source: RefSeq, a predicted model, not a curated record
ACACAAGUCCUCCAUUGCAGCAGGACUCAAAUCUGCGCAGUAAGCACCAAUGAGUCCACAGUUGUCAUGCUGCUAUGGCACCGGUAGGCAUGCAUGGCUGCAAGCCCCACCAUCGCCCGAUCCCCAUCCUUCCUAAAACUCACAGCAGUCCUCUUGUCUCAGGGUGUAUGUGCUGGGAUGACAGGUGUGCUGGUCUCAUGUCAACUAGACACACAAACUACAGUUAUCUGAAAAGAGGGAACCGCAAUAAUGCCUGCACAGCUCUGUCUGAGAAUGAAGGCGUCCAGCUAAGGAAUCUGAAGACCACUGAACAGAUGAGACAUGUGAAGAAAAAGGACAAAUCAUCCAGAAAAGUUGUCUCAAGAAAAAGUGUAAAUUGUCGGUAUAUCACAUUUUCAACAGAAUAAAAUUUCAUAAGUCUUCCUAAA